Gorilla gorilla gorilla (western lowland gorilla) is the source of this 7715-nucleotide long non-coding RNA. RefSeq lists it as uncharacterized. The record is from RefSeq and is a predicted model, not a curated record. NCBI's taxonomy places the organism in Eukaryota, Metazoa, Chordata, Mammalia, Primates, Hominidae. The transcript is spliced from 19 exons.
GGGGUUUCACCGUGUUAGCCAGGAUGGUCUCGAUCUCCUGACCUCGCGAUCCGCCCGCCUCGGCCUCCCAAAGUGCUGGGAUUACAGGCGUGAGCCACCGCGCCCGGCCUCAGCUGGUUUUUCAAAAGUCAUGGCGUGUAAUUGUCAGAACAGUGAACUUCGGAGAUCCACCGGAGGGGCGAGGCCACAGCUCAACCGCGAGCACCUGAGCAUCCUGCACCGCCUGCGACGGCCGUCAGGGGGCGCGAUGCCGCCUCACAGAACCUCAAGAGGCGCCCGGGUUCCGGCACAGAAGCCCGGCGGCUCCAGGGGGCGGAGCCGAGCCGCCUCCUCAGGACCUACGCAGGAGGCGCCGUCAUCCCUACAGGGACACCUGAGAGGACCCAGCCUCCUCCUCCUCAGGACCCACUCGGGAGACGCCGCUGGCUCUAUAGGAACACCUGGGGACCGUGGCCAGGGACCACCCAGCCUCCUUCUCCUCAGCUCCUCAGGAACGACUGGGGAAGCUGUGGCUUCAUGGUCCCCGAGGCUGCCCGAGGAAAGGUAUUUCAGGACAGCCAGGAGGGGGCGCACAUCCGCCGACAAACUGUGAGCAAGAGCGUCUGUGCUGAACCACGGAGCCACCAGAGGGCGCGCGAUCCCGCCCCAACGAACUUCCCGCGGAGGUGCCAGAAGCAGCGAGGAGCUUCAACUUCCUCAGGGCAGCACGAGGGUCGUGUUAACUUGGUGUUCUUCAUUGAGACGGGGUUUCACCGUGUUAGCCAGGAUGGUCUCGAUCUCCUGACCUCGCGAUCCGCCCGCCUCGGCCUCCCAAAGUGCUGGGAUUACAGGCGUGAGCCACCGCGCCCGGCCUCAGCUGGUUUUUCAAAAGUCAUGGCGUGUAAUUGUCAGAACAGUGAACUUCGGAGAUCCACCGGAGGGGCGAGGCCACAGCUCAACCGCGAGCACCUGAGCAUCCUGCACCGCCUGCGACGGCCGUCAGGGGGCGCGAUGCCGCCUCACAGAACCUCAAGAGGCGCCCGGGUUCCGGCACAGAAGCCCGGCGGCUCCAGGGGGCGGAGCCGAGCCGCCUCCUCAGGACCUACGCAGGAGGCGCCGUCAUCCCUACAGGGACACCCGAGAGGACCCAGCCUCCUCCUCCUCAGGACCCACUCGGGAGACGCCGCUGGCUCUAUAGGAACACCUGGGGACCGUGGCCAGGGACCACCCAGCCUCCUUCUCCUCAGCUCCUCAGGAACGACUGGGGAAGCUGUGGCUUCGUGGUCCCCGAGGCUGCCCGAGGAAAGGUAUUUCAGGACAGCCAGGAGGGGGCGCACAUCCGCCGACAAACUGUGAGCAAGAGCGUCUGUGCUGAACCACGGAGCCACCAGAGGGCGCGCGAUCCCGCCCCAACGAACUUCCCGCGGAGGUGCCAGAAGCAGCGAGGAGCUUCAACUUCCUCAGGGCAGCACGAGGGUCGUGUUAACUUGGUGUUCUUCAUCGGUCUCACACUGUCACCCAGCCUGGAGUACAGUGGCACAACCUCUGCUCACUGCAGCCUCCACCUGCCAGGCUCAAGCAAUUCUCCUGCCUCAGCCUCCCGAGUAGCUGGGAUUACAGGGUCUCCCUCUGUUGUCCAAGGCUGGAGGGUAGUACUGCUAUCGCAGCUGAUUGCAGCCUCAACCUUCCAGGCUGAAGCGAUCCUCCCAUCUCAACCUCCCACGUGGCUGAGACUACAGGUGCUUGCCACUAUGCCCAACUAAUAUUUGGAAUUUUCGUAUACGUGGAUUCCAGAGAGGUGACAGCGAAACGUGGGACCAUCCAGUUUCAGGAAAACAAGCUUAACACGCCCACUGAUUCUACAUUAUGCUCCUACCUCCCGGCAGCCUCGCCAGGCCCAGAACUCUCUCCAGUCAGCCUCUACAGACCAAGCUCAUGACUCACAAUGGCCUAUUUAGGCCCAUACCCUACCUCACGGCAGUCUCCGCAGAUGAGCCUACUGCCUCACAACAGCCUCCACAGGCACAGCUCCAUCGUUACAAUGGCCUCUUUAGACCCAGCUCCUGCCUCCCAGCCUUCUCUCCAGGCCCUGAACUUUCUCCGUGGGACCAUCCAGUUUCAGGAAAACAAGCUUAACACGCCCACUGAUUCUACAUUAUGCUCCUACCUCCCGGCAGCCUCGCCAGGCCCAGAACUCUCUCCAGUCAGCCUCUACAGACCAAGCUCAUGACUCACAAUGGCCUAUUUAGGCCCAUACCCUACCUCACGGCAGUCUCCGCAGAUGAGCCUACUGCCUCACAACAGCCUCCACAGGCACAGCUCCAUCGUUACAAUGGCCUCUUUAGACCCAGCUCCUGCCGCCCAGCCUUCUCUCCAGGCCCUGAACUUUCUCCGGUCUCCCUCUGUUGUCCGAGGCUGGAGGGUAGUAGUGCUAUCGCAGCUGACUGCAGCCUCAACCUUCCAGGCUGAAGCGAUCCUCCCAUCUCAACCUCCCACGUGGCUGAGACUACAGGUGCUUGCCACUAUGCCCAACUAAUAUUUGGUAUUUUCGUAUACGUGGAUUCCAGAGGAGUGACAGCGAAAUGUGGGACCAUCCAGUUUCAGGAAAACAAGCUUAACACGCCCACUGAUUCUACAUUAUGAUUCUUCAGGCCCAGCAUCUGCCUCACUGUGGACCCCCCAAGCCAAGCUCCCAACCUUUCAGCAGCUUCUACACACCCAGCUCCCGCCUGCCAGUGGCCUCUUCAGGCCCAUGGGGCUCAUUCCUCACAACAGCCUUUCCAGUCCCAGUUUUUCCCUUCCGGCGGCCUCUCCGGGCUGAGAACCUCCUCAAGUCGGCCUCUCCAGACUCACUUGCACCCUCCAGGCGUCCUCUCCGGGCCAAGCUCCUCUUCCUGGCUGCGUCUCCAGGCCCGACUCCUGCCUCUCAACAACCUCUUUGGACUCAGUGCCUACCCAUCUCCUGGCGUCCUUGGUCGGCCCACAGCUUCCUCAAGCCAAGCUCCCCAGGCCCAGGUCAGGCCUCACGGUGCCCCCUCCACGAUGAGCUCCUGCCCUCCAAUGGCACCUGCAGGACCCAAAUGGUCUCCGGUCGGUGGGCUCCUCCAUGCCAAGCUUGGGCCUCCCGGUGACCUCUGCAGGCCCAAGUUGUCCUGAAGUCGGCAUCUCCCAGCCAUGCCUCCCAGCAAGUAAGCAAGCUCUUUUGGCUCAACUCCUGCCCAGCUCCCAACCGCCUUUGUAGGUCCCGAACUUUCUCCAGCCAAGUUCUUUGGGCCUCAUUCCUGCCGCCCGGUGGCCUGUACGGGCCCAGCAAUGGUUGGAGAACGGCCUCUGCAGGUCCCGCUCUUGCCUCCCAGGGGCCUCUCCAGGCCCAGCUCUUGCCCCCACGGCGGCCACCUGGGGCCAAGUCCCUGCCUGCCUCCCAGCAGCCCGCAUGCGGCCCAGCUCCUCCCUCACGGUGGCCUGUUGAUGCCCAUGCCUCUGGUACCCUGCCCAGAGGCAUGAGCCCCUGCCACACACUGGCUCCUCCCACGCUGAGAGAGGUCAGCGUGAGCCCUUGCCUCACACCGGCCCCUCCCAUCCUGAGAGAGGUCAGCGUGAGCCCCUUGCCUGACCCUGGCUCCUCCCACGCUGAGAGAGGUCAGCGUGAGCCCUUGCCUCACACCGGCCCCUCCCAUGCUGAGAGAGGUUGGCGUGAGCCCUUGCCUCACACCGGCCCCUCCCACGGUGAGAGAGGUCAGCGUCAGCCCCUUGCCUCACACCGGCCCCUCCCACGGUGAGAGAGGUCGGCGUGAGCCCUUGCCUCACACCGGCCCCUCCCACGGUGAGAGAGGUCAGCGUCAGCCCCUUGCCUCACACCGGCCCCUCCCACGCUGAGAGAGGUCGCCGUGAGCCCUUGACUCACACCGGCCCCUCCCACGCUGAGAGAGGUCAACAUGAGCUCCUUGCCUCACACCGGCCCCUCCCACGCUGAGAGAGGUCGGCGUGAGCCCUUGCCUCACGCCGGCCCCUCCCACGCUGAGAGAGGUCAACAUGAGCCCCUUGCCUCAUACCGGCCCCUCCCACGCUGAGAGAUUUCAACAUGAGCCCCUUGCCUCACACCGGCCCCUCCCACGCUGAGAGAGGUCAACAUGAGCCCCUUGCCUCACACCGGCCCCUCCCACGCUGAGAGAGGUCAGCGUGAGCCCUUGCCUCACACCGGCCCCUCCCACGCUGAGAGAGGUCGGCAUGAGCCCCUUGCCUCACACAGGCCCCUCUCACUCUGACAGAGGUCAGCCUGAGCCCUUGUCUCACACCGGCCCCUCCCACGCUGAGAGGUCAGCGUGAGCCCUUGCCUCACACCGGCCCCUCCCACGCUGAGAGAGGUCAGCGUGAGCCCCUUGCCUCACCCCGGCCCCUCCCACGCUGAGAGAGGUCAGCGUGAGCCCUUGCCUCACACCGGCCCCUCCCACGCUGAGAGAGGUCGGCGUGAGCCCCUUGCCUCACCCCGGCCCCUCCCAUGCUGAGAGAGGUCGGCGUGAGCCCUUGCCUCACACCGGCCCCUCCCAUGCUGAGAGAGGUCGGCGUGAGCCCCUUGCCUCACACCGGCCCCUCCCACGCUGAGAGAGGUCGGCGUGAGCCCUUGCCUCACACCGGCCCCUCCCACGGUGAGAGAGGUCAGCGUCAGCCCCUUGCCUCACACCGGCCCCUCCCACGCUGAGAGAGGUCGGCGUGAGCCCUUGCCUCACACCGGCCCCUCCCACGGUGAGAGAGGUCAGCGUGAGCCCCUGCCUCAACAGGCCACCGUGAGGGAGGAGCAGGGUCGCACGCGGGCUGCUGUGAGGCAGGCAGCGACUUGGGCCUGGGAGGUCGUGGUGGGGUGAGAGCUGGGCUUGGAGACUCCCCUGGGAGGCAACAGCGGGGCCUACAGACUCUGUUCUCCAGCCGGAGCUGGGACUGUUCAGGUACUGGGAGGUGGGAUGUGGGUCUGAAGAGCUUGGUUGCAGAAACUUCGGGGUCUACAAACGCAGGCGGGAGCUGAGCCAAAAAAGCUUGUUUGCUGGGAGGCGGGAGAUGCAGCCAGGAGAAACAGCUGUGCCUGCAGAGGCCGCCAUGCGGGAGGCGGAGGCCGGGCCUCCUCAAAUCGGCCUCUCCAGACCCACUUGCAGCCUCCCGGCAUCCUCUCCGGGCCCAGCUCUUCCUCCCGGCUGCAUCUCCAGGCCUGAGUCUGGCCUCCCUACAACGUCUUUGGACUCAGCUCCUGCCCAGCUCCCAGCAGGCCCAAGUUGUCGUCAAGUCAGCCUGGAAUUGGGCCCGGAAGAGCAGCAAGUCGGCCUCCCCGGGCCCAGCUCCGUCCUCUCGGCGGCCUCUCCAGAUGCAAAACUUCCUCGAGUCAGCCUCUCCAGGCCCAGCUCCUCCUGCCUCCCAGUGGCCUCUUUCAGCCCAGACCAGCUCAUGGCUCUUGGCGGCCUUCCCAGGCCCCGCUUUUGACUUUUGGUGGCCUCUUCAGGCCCAGAACUUGACCUCCAGUGGGCCUUUGCAGGCCCGGCCUCCUGCCUCUCGAAGGCCUGCACGGGCCCGGACUCACAGCGGACUCACAGCGGACUCUCCAUGCCCAGCUAGCUCUCGCCUCAUUGCGGCCUCCCGAGUCCAAAGCUCCUGCCUCUCGGCCGCUUCGGCAGGCCCAGCUCCCGCCUGCCAGUGGCCUCUUUAGGCCCAGCUCGUUCCUCACAACGGCCUUCCCAGGCCCCGUUUUUCCCUUCUGGCAGCCUCUUGGCCUCUAAUUUGUUUAUCUUUUGUGUAUAAAUCCCAAAAUAUUGAAUUUUGGAAUAUUUCCACCAUUAUGUAAAUAUUUUGGUAGGUGAUUUAUUUGGGGUGAGUUUCUGCACCAAGCCUGAAUUUUUUAUUUUAUUUUCCUUAUUAUUUGGUGUUAAACAGGUUUAAUGACGGUCAUGGCAACUGUUUGGCACAAUGAAAAAUAUCACCCAUGAUCAAUGUGUUCUGUUCUGGGGAAGGGGGCAAAGGCAGGGUGAAUCACUUUCUUAAAAAGUAUAGCUCAAGUUGGGAGUGCAGAGGGAAUGGGGAUAAAACCCUCCCGCUGCCUGUGUCGAAGUGCAGGAGCCCCCACCCCCAUACUCACCUGAGUCCAGCCCCUCUGGGGAAAGAAGGGGUGCAUGAACUCCCCCUAGUCCACAGGCACCUCCCUGUGGCCCAAGGCCCUCUUCACACUCCAUCUUGUAGCCCCAACAGGAGCUAUUUUCCGAAAAGUGAAAAGCUCUGAAGGUCCCACAAUUCAUGGUAUGUACACCUCCCUCACCAGGGGCUGCAAAGUGGCCUGGAGCUCCAUACUGAGUAGAAGUCUUUGGGCCAGAGUCAGCAUCUGGCUGACGGUCCGGAUAUCCUGGUUGGAGUGACCCUGGUGUGCCCUGCCAGGGCCUGGUGCCGCUUGCUGAAGAUCAUGACCGCCACUCAUGGGCCACCGAUGUGGUCCUUGUCCCAUUUGUUGGGGCUGCGUCCAUCCUUCUCAGAAGAUGAGUCCUGUUCCUUGCGCAGGGCACUGAGGGACUGGGCCUGACAUCAUCUGAGUGGUAGAGGCAACUGGGUGUCAGGAGACAUGAUGGAGAGGAAAGCAUCAUCAUGGUCAUUCUCUGUCUCACUGUCAAGCAGGGACUCCCCUGAGGGGCCCAGGGCUCCUCCUCCAUGGUGGGAGGUGGGACCAUCCAGUUUCAGGAAAACAAGCUUAACACGCCCACUGAAUCUACAUUAUGCUCCUACCUCCUGGCAGCCUCGCCAGGCCCAGAACUCUCUCCAGUCAGCCUCUACAGACCAAGCUCAUGACUCACAAUGGCCUAUUUAGGCCCAUACCCUACCUCACGGCAGUCUCCGCAGAUGAGCCUACUGCCUCACAACAGCCUCCACAGGCACAGCUCCAUCUUUACAAUGGCCUCUUUAGACCCAGCUCCUGCCUCCCAGCCUUCUCUCCAGGCCCUGAACUUUCUCCGUGGGACCAUCCAGUUUCAGGAAAACAAGCUUAACACGCCCACUGAUUCUACAUUAUGCUCCUACCUCCCGGCAGCCUCGCCAGGCCCAGAACUCUCUCCAGUCAGCCUCUACAGACCAAGCUCAUGACUCACAAUGGCCUAUUGAGGCCCAUACCCUACCUCACGGCAGUCUCCGCAGAUGAGCCUACUGCCUCACAACAGCCUCCACAGGCACAGCUCCAUCGUUACAAUGGCCUCUUUAGACCCAGCUCCUGCCUCCCAGCCUUCUCUCCAGGCCCUGAACUUUCUCCGUGGGACCAUCCAGUUUCAGGAAAACAAGCUUAACACGCCCACUGAUUCUACAUUAUGCUCCUACCUCCCGGCAGCCUCGCCAGGCCCAGAACUCUCUCCAGUCAGCCUCUACAGACCAAGCUCAUGACUCACAAUGGCCUAUUGAGGCCCAUACCCUACCUCACGGCAGUCUCCGCAGAUGAGCCUACUGCCUCACAACAGCCUCCACAGGCACAGCUCCAUCGUUACAAUGGCCUCUUUAGACCCAGCUCCUGCCUCCCAGCCUUCUCUCCAGGCCCUGAACUUUCUCCGUAAGUUGAGGUAGCUGGGACUGUAGGUAUACAUGAUGAUACUUGGCUACUUUUUAAAUUGUUUUGCAGACAUGGGGUCUCACUUUGUUGGCCAGGCUGCUGUCAAACUAAUGGCCUCAAGUGACCCUUCCACCCCUGCCUCCCAUCCUCGAGGUAUGUGCCACCACAAGGGGCA